This is a non-coding RNA of Danio rerio (zebrafish), 715 nucleotides long. NCBI's taxonomy places the organism in Eukaryota, Metazoa, Chordata, Actinopteri, Cypriniformes, Danionidae. The record is from RefSeq and is a predicted model, not a curated record.
AUCAUAUCUAUCAAAAUGUUAAAACAUCAUCCUCCAGAGGAGGGCAGCAACAGUCUCGCAACACAAUAUCAUGGCCUAAAAUCAACAGCAAAAGUUGUGCCAAACAAAGGAGGACGACCCCUGCUGCGUCUGCUUUCACCAGUGGUCUAUUUGCACCUUCUAUUUAUAGAUGAGCUAGUAUGAGGAAUACACUAUCUUCAUAUAUCACUUUAAUGCACUCGCAGAUUCAUAAGCAGCACCUCUAAUAAAGAGAUGGAGGGAGAAAAAAAGAAAGAGAUAGUUAUUGAGCGGCUGAGAGGAAGAGGGGAAAAAUGAUCUAAUGCAGCUAAUGCAGCUCCAGUUUAGCACAUUAAGAAAGACAGACGCGCACACACAUAGAAAAAAAGGAGUGAAUCAAGGAGUGAAAGAAAAUAUUCAGAGAGAAAGAGAGAGGGAGCAAAAGGAAGAGAUUGAGAGAUGGAAACAAACCAAUAGAGAGGAAGAGGGAGAGACAGAAGAGUGAGAGAUGAGAUACUGAGGCAGCCGUUCAUCCACCAUCCUCCCCACCACCAUCACAAGGUUGGCCCAGUCCAUUGGGGUAGGCUACAAGCUACCAUAGGAUCUACAAGCUUUCAUUUAAAGCUACAGACGGGGCAUCCACUAAAGAAAUGCUUUGUUUUGUUAAAUUAUACUAUGCUAAAUAAUACUUUUGUCAAAUAAAUGCAAUUCAAUAUCA